This 468-nucleotide ribosomal RNA is filed under the name uncultured bacterium. Its description in RNAcentral is "partial 16S ribosomal RNA". It matches the Rfam family "Bacterial small subunit ribosomal RNA", at positions 28 to 507 of the family's 1533-position model. The record is from RNAcentral.
GACGAACGCUGGCGGCGUGCUUAACACAUGCAAGUCGAACGGAAAGGCCCUGCUUUUUUGGGGUGCUCGAGUGGCGAACGGGUGAGUAACACGUGAGUAACCUGCCCUUGACUUUGGGAUAACUUCAGGAAACUGGGGCUAAUACCGGAUAGGAGCUCCUGCUGCAUUGUGGGGGUUGGAAAGUUUCGGCGGUUGGGGAUGGACGCGCGGCUUAUCAGCUUGUUGGUUGGGUAGUGGCUUACCAAGGCUUUGACGGGUAGCCGGCCUGAGAGGGUGACCGGCCACAUUGGGACUGAGAUACGGCCCAGACUCCUACGGGAGGCAGCAGUGGGGAAUAUUGCACAAUGGGCGGAAGCCUGAUGCAGCAACGCCGCGUGCGGGAUGACGGCCUUCGGGUUGUAAACCGCUUUCGCCUGUGACGAAGCGUGAGUGACGGUAAUGGGUAAAGAAGCACCGGCUAACUACGUG